Molecule: ribosomal RNA, 778 nt
Filed under: Acinetobacter calcoaceticus
Lineage: Bacteria; Pseudomonadati; Pseudomonadota; Gammaproteobacteria; Moraxellales; Moraxellaceae
Description: bacterial SSU rRNA
Rfam family: Bacterial small subunit ribosomal RNA
Source: RNAcentral
UUUAGGGGGUUUUUUAAGUUUUUGAACAGCUCAGAUUGAACGCUGGCGGCAGGCUUAACACAUGCAAGUCGAGCGGGGAUAGGGUGCUUGCACCUGAUUCCUAGCGGCGGACGGGUGAGUAAUGCUUAGGAAUCUGCCUAUUAGUGGGGGACAACGUUCCGAAAGGGACGCUAAUACCGCAUACGUCCUACGGGAGAAAGCAGGGGAUCUUCGGACCUUGCGCUAAUAGAUGAGCCUAAGUCGGAUUAGCUAGUUGGUGGGGUAAAGGCCUACCAAGGCGACGAUCUGUAGCGGGUCUGAGAGGAUGAUCCGCCACACUGGGACUGAGACACGGCCCAGACUCCUACGGGAGGCAGCAGUGGGGAAUAUUGGACAAUGGGGGCAACCCUGAUCCAGCCAUGCCGCGUGUGUGAAGAAGGCCUUUUGGUUGUAAAGCACUUUAAGCGAGGAGGAGGCUUACCUGGUUAAUACCUGGGAUAAGUGGACGUUACUCGCAGAAUAAGCACCGGCUAACUCUGUGCCAGCAGCCGCGGUAAUACAGAGGGUGCAAGCGUUAAUCGGAUUUACUGGGCGUAAAGCGCGCGUAGGUGGCUAAUUAAGUCAAAUGUGAAAUCCCCGAGCUUAACUUGGGAAUUGCAUUCGAUACUGGUUAGCUAGAGUAUGGGAGAGGAUGGUAGAAUUCCAGGUGUAGCGGUGAAAUGCGUAGAGAUCUGGAGGAAUACCGAUGGCGAAGGCAGCCAUCUGGCCUAAUACUGACACUGAGUGCGAAAAGUACGCG